CCUACGGGGGGCUGCUUGACGUUCACGAUGACCGAGGACCGACUCGAUGGGAAGCAGCACCCACUUUCCGGCCGGCUUGGAAUGCAGGGCGAUGUGUACUGGACCUACUUCUCAGACGACGGCACCGGCCCCGUCUUCCGGUCGCCGAGGUUGGUAAGCCGUCAGGAAUGCCACCAGCCGGUCAGCCGCGCGAUGAGAUCCGUCGACGCCCCCUUGAUCCCGGACAUCUCCCCGGAGUGGCCGCAGCUCAUCGCCCAGCCGCCGUCCACAUUCGUGCUGGGCGCACGGGCGUUCAACGGCCUGGACCGCUCCUACGACCCGCGCGGCAAGCUGCUGAUCGGCACGAUCGACAUCAGCCGGCCCAACCCGAAGUGGGUCUUCAAGAUACCCGUGUAGUC
RNAcentral lists this ribosomal RNA (398 nucleotides) under uncultured prokaryote. RNAcentral describes it as "partial 16S ribosomal RNA". The record is from RNAcentral.